This 483-nucleotide ribosomal RNA is filed under the name uncultured Pelotomaculum sp. Its description in RNAcentral is "bacterial SSU rRNA". It matches the Rfam family "Bacterial small subunit ribosomal RNA", at positions 900 to 1382 of the family's 1533-position model. The record is from RNAcentral. Lineage: Bacteria; Bacillati; Bacillota; Clostridia; Eubacteriales; Desulfotomaculaceae.
CUUAAAUGAAUUGACGGGGCCCGCACAAGCGGUGGAGCAUGUGGUUUAAUUCGACGCAACGCGAAGAACCUUACCAGGGCUUGACAUCCCCUGACCGCGUAUGAAAGUACGAAUUCACCUUCGGGUGACAGGGAGACAGGUGGUGCAUGGUUGUCGUCAGCCCGUGUCGUGAGAUGUUGGGUUAAGUCCCGCAACGAGCGCAACCCCUACGUUUAGUUGCUAACGCGUGAAGGCGAGCACUCUAGACGAACUGCCGUUGACAAAACGGAGGAAGGUGGGAUGACGUCAAAUCAUCAUGCCCCUUAUGUUCUGGGCUACACACGUGCUACAAUGGCCGGUACAGACGGACGCAAAGCCGCGAGGUGGAGCAAAUCCUAAAAAGCCGGUCUCAGUUCGGAUUGCAGGCUGCAAUUCGCCUGCAUGAAGUCGGAAUCGCUAGUAAUCGCAGGUCAGCAUACUGCGGUGAAUACGUUCCCGGGCCUU